UCUCGGUUUCACAGACCCGUUUAGCAGUGUCACAUCACUGGGUCAAUGUGCAAACCUUUUCGAUUGCGUUGGUGCAACCAGUUAAAAAUACCAACUGGCGACUCUUAAAGUCCAACCGUAGACAUUACACAUGUCGGACCUUUUUCACUUUUUUUUCAAACAAAUCUCACAUUAACAUGAGAACACCAAAGAGCAAGUAACAAAAAGGGACAAAUAAAAAUCCCGACGUCGACAUACAUCCAUUUACAUUCACAAUACCAGUUAAUUAUAACGUAAUUAGUCAUCACAAGUUCAUGCUUUUUGUUUAACUCGGAUUAUGACUAUACUUAGUCAAAUUACCACACUUAUUGACACAUAAUUUACACUUCAUGACCAAUAAGCUAACUAUGCAUUCAAUAAUUCAAUCCACACAGAAAUGUGUUAUUGACAUGUUAAGCAUCUAUUUUAAUGUCUCAUUAUACGUCUAACCUAUUUGAAUGUACAUUAGAUUAGGUUACUAUCACAUUCCUAGACUUGAAAAAUAAAAAUUUUCAUUUCUGGACAAUCUGCAGAGUGGUGUUGCGGUGCCAUUGUUAGGCUUGUUCUCGGCGCUGUGGCUUGGGCUUUGGCGCGGUGGCGCUGCGGCGCGGGACUUUAGGCAUGGAGUUGGCGCCGCGGCGCGGAACUCUAGUUUUUGAAUUUUCAGUUCGCGAAGAACAUAGAGUCAGACAAAAUUAUCAUUACAUGGUCAUUAAAUUAAACAUACCCACAUACUAGAAUUCAUACAUAAUCAUUUCCCAACCUUUAUAGAGUGAUUUUAACAAGUUUAAACACAUAAUUACUUGAAUCAAAUUAUAUAAUUUUACUGUUCUUGAUGUUCGUGAAAGUUUUGAAAAUAAAACAUGGAGAUUGGCACUACGGGUUCAUUAUAACACUAAAUCAGUCCAUUUGAAGUUUAUUUCUUUCGUUUUGACAUGUGAUAACAUAAUCUAACGUUAAAUUUCAAGUUAAACAACAAUUUGUAGCAUACAAAUUCCCAUAAGGGCCAUACAUAUGAAACUUAU
RNAcentral lists this long non-coding RNA (1043 nucleotides) under Panax ginseng (ginseng). RNAcentral describes it as "long non-coding RNA (PGIN_LNC002013)". The record is from RNAcentral. Lineage: Eukaryota; Viridiplantae; Streptophyta; Magnoliopsida; Apiales; Araliaceae.